GCUUGCAUCCUGGGGUUGUAGGACUGGACAUUGGAGUUACAAAAAUUUGGAUUAGCAAAAUGACAUGGGAAGGUCAGCCAUAGCGGGUGAGAGCCCCUUACGCUAAAAUCCAAAUCCUCCGUCCAGGAUCCUGAGUACGGCCAGACACGUGAAAUCUGGUCGGAAUCUGGGAGGACCAUCUCCCAAGGCUAAAUACUACCUAGUGACCGAUAGUGAACCAGUAC
Molecule: non-coding RNA, 224 nt
Filed under: Agrilactobacillus composti DSM 18527 = JCM 14202
Lineage: Bacteria; Bacillati; Bacillota; Bacilli; Lactobacillales; Lactobacillaceae
Description: Lactobacillus composti DSM 18527 = JCM 14202 Bacterial large subunit ribosomal RNA
Rfam family: Bacterial large subunit ribosomal RNA
Source: Rfam by way of RNAcentral